This is a long non-coding RNA of Catharus ustulatus (Swainson's thrush), 2007 nucleotides long. RefSeq lists it as uncharacterized. Lineage: Eukaryota; Metazoa; Chordata; Aves; Passeriformes; Turdidae. The record is from RefSeq and is a predicted model, not a curated record. The transcript is spliced from 6 exons.
GCGCGGCGCUGGCCCUCGCCCGUAGGUGGCGGGGCGGCCGCGACCCCCGGCGGGGUACUCGGUACUGUUAGCCAGCCUGCGGUGCGCAGCCCUCCCGCUCCGCCGCCCCGGGCUGUCGCGACCGAGCCGUGACUCGUAAUUGGCGUCUGUGGCUCAGGCGAGAGCAGACUGUAUCGCGUGUUCAGUGACAAAUGAACCAAAGCAAGAGGUUGCCAUCUCCACAAUGACAUUGCAUCCAAACCCCUGGCUAUGAAAUCAAGAUUGCUGGUCACUGUCACAUGUGAUGGGGCUGUGCUCUCCUGGAGGUGGCUGAACACCUGCUUGCCCAUGGAAAAUGAAACUCAGUCCUUGGCAUAAUACAAUGAAGCCCCUGAAGCUGAUGAUCUGGAACAGGAAUACUGACGUAUGCUGUACUCCUUGCUGAACCUUGGGCAUAACUUGCAAACUUUUAUGGGAUUGUUCCGGUUUGAACAAGAACUUGCUACCUGAAGAACAAUUUUCCAAGAAACAAAUGAUUGCAGACAUGUUGUACACUGGUCUUCUAUGCAAAGACAAACACUUUAUAGGUGACCAGCUAAUGUUGGAGCCACAGCCACCACUUCAGAGAGCACUGGGAGCAUGGAGUUAAACACCUGCUAAUUUGACUGGGCUGGUUUGCAUCGAUUUUGGUUUGCUUUGAGUGCCAGUCACCACUGUCUAACCCUGCUAUGAGAGUUACUGAUGGUGUUCCCAGUCUCCUCCUAGGCUGCCUCUGUUGGUCUCAGCCAGAGUUCAGUCUCCAGGAGGGGUGGGAGACAUUCAGACCUCCUCAUCUGCGGCAGGCAGACACCUGCCCUGUGGUGCCUUCAGGACCCAGAUGAGGCAGGCAGGCAUCCACUGCUGGUCCCUGUGUUUGCUGCAAGAGCUCUUGUCUGAAGGUUUUGAUAAUGAGGGAGCUACAGGGGUGACUUCUGUGAGAAACUGCCAGAAGAUUCCCCCAUGGACAACAAAGCCAAUUCCAGCCAGCUCCAGGAUGGACCUGCUGCUGGCCAAGGCUGAGCCCAUCAACAAUGGCCCUAGUGCCUCUGGGAUAACAGAUUUAAUAAAGAGAGGAACUGCUGGAAGAGCAGCCAGAAAGAGGAGGGAGAACAUGUGAGAGGAGCAGCUCUGCAGACACCAAGAUCAGUGCAGAAGGAGGAGCAGGAGGUGCUCCAGCCACUGGAGCAGAGAUCCAACUGCAGCCCGUGGUGCAGCCCAUGGAAAGGCAGGAUGUGACCCUCUGGUCUGUGGAGGUCCAUGGAGGAACAGAGAUCCAACUGCAGCCUGUGGGGGACCCCACACUGGAGCAUGGAGAGCCUGAAGGGGGCUGUGGCCCCGUGGAGACCUGUGCUGGAGCAGGGUCCUGGCAGGAGCUGUGCCCCAUGGAGACAGAGCCCGCACUGAGCAGCUUGCUGGCAGGACUGGUGGUCCCAUGCAGGACCCACUCUGGAGCAGUGUGUUCCUGAAGGACUGCACUCAGAGGGAGGAGAAGAGCUGCAACCCCUGGGAAGGAUUUACAUUUGGAAAGUUUGUGUCUCCUGUUGAAGGGACCUCCGCACUGGAGCAGAGGAAGAGUGUGAGGAGUCCACCCCUUGAAAAGGAAAGAACAGCAAAGACAAUGUGUGGUGGAUUGACCACAACCUUGAUUCCUCAUUCCCCUGCUUGACUGGGGAGAAGGAAAUAGACAGAAUUUGGAUUUAAGUUAAAUCUGGGAAUAAGAGGGAGUAAGGGUCGACAGUUUCAGAUUUAGUUUUUAUUUCUUGUUACCCUACUCUGAUUUGCUUGGUAAUAGAUUACUCUAAUUUUCCCAAGGUGAGUCUGUUUUGCCUGUGAUGGUAAUGAUGAAAGAUCUCCCCUUGUCCUUUUCUCAGUCCAGGAGCCUUUCAUUAUAUGUAGUCCUCCUUUGAGUACUCUAAUAAUUUAACACCUUUCUUAUAUUGUGGUGCCCAAAACUUCACACAAUAUUCAAGGUGAGGCUGCCCCAGCUCA